CGCGGGCGGGCCGGGGUCCCGCCGCUUGUGGGAGCCGCUGGGCGCCAGCUGCCCGCGCUUACCGGGACCUGGUGUGCCCUGCCUGGCGCCUGGUGCUGGUGCACCGGCAUAUCGGCUCGGCGUCGGUUGCUGGUCGGGUCCGGAGAGGAGGAAAUACAGGAAGAAGUGAUCGUGCUGCUGUGUUACCUGUUUGCUCGGCUGGGCCGCGUCUACCGGAACGUUGUGUCUGUGUGUCACCUUUGCAUGACAUGCACCAACGUCUGUUUUCUCAAAAUGAGUGACUUACACGGCGACCAAGCAUCUCUGGUCUACAUCUGCUUUUAAGACAGGCUGGGAGCCUCACACGGACAGUUGCCAGAUCAUGCUUAGGAGAAGCUAGAUGGAGAAUACAGAAUGAAGCAGUGGAUCUGUCUCCAGGAUUAAAAGAAUCAGAUGGGAAGUCUAUGGAUGGGAUCUGGUAUAUGCAUUGAGCAACUAUCAAAUUUGCCCUGGAUUGACUGCAAAGUAGAGAAGCAGAUUCCCACCUUCACCUCAUUUUCUUCACCUGAACCAGCAAUGAUUGGAUGAAAUACAUGUGUUGUGUGGAGCUGGAACAGGUUCAACGCUCCCAGCCAAGAUGUGCUCUCUGACAGAAGAUGUAAUCUGUGUAAUCUCCCAUGGUGGUAUUUUAGGCUGUGUCCUUGUAUCAGAACUGCUUUUAAAAAACAAUAUAAUGCUGGAAAUUA
Corvus hawaiiensis (hawaiian crow) is the source of this 725-nucleotide long non-coding RNA. RefSeq lists it as uncharacterized. The transcript has 2 exons. NCBI's taxonomy places the organism in Eukaryota, Metazoa, Chordata, Aves, Passeriformes, Corvidae. The record is from RefSeq and is a predicted model, not a curated record.